Molecule: ribosomal RNA, 499 nt
Filed under: fungal sp. TRN447
Lineage: Eukaryota; Fungi
Description: SSU rRNA
Rfam family: Eukaryotic small subunit ribosomal RNA
Source: RNAcentral
GUCUAAGUAUAAGCAACUAUACGGUGAAACUGCGAAUGGCUCAUUAAAUCAGUUAUCGUUUAUUUGAUAGUACCUUACUACUUGGAUAACCGUGGUAAUUCUAGAGCUAAUACAUGCUAAAAACCCCGACUUCGGAAGGGGUGUAUUUAUUAGAUAAAAAACCAACGCCCUUCGGGGCUCCUUGGUGAUUCAUAAUAACUUAACGAAUCGCAUGGCCUUGCGCCGGCGAUGGUUCAUUCAAAUUUCUGCCCUAUCAACUUUCGAUGGUAGGAUAGUGGCCUACCAUGGUAUCAACGGGUAACGGGGAAUUAGGGUUCUAUUCCGGAGAGGGAGCCUGAGAAACGGCUACCACAUCCAAGGAAGGCAGCAGGCGCGCAAAUUACCCAAUCCCGACACGGGGAGGUAGUGACAAUAAAUACUGAUACAGGGCUCUUUUGGGUCUUGUAAUUGGAAUGAGUACAAUUUAAAUCCCUUAACGAGGAACAAUUGGAGGGCAAGU